RNAcentral lists this ribosomal RNA (253 nucleotides) under uncultured bacterium. RNAcentral describes it as "partial 16S ribosomal RNA". It matches the Rfam family "Bacterial small subunit ribosomal RNA", at positions 524 to 776 of the family's 1533-position model. The record is from RNAcentral.
UACGGAGGGGGCUAGCGUUGUUCGGAAUUACUGGGCGUAAAGCGCACGUAGGCGGCUUGGUAUGUCGGGUGUGAAAUCCCCGGGCUCAACCUGGGAACUGCAUCCGAAACUGCCUUGCUAGAGUAUGGGAGAGGGAAGUGGAAUUUCCGGUGUAGCGGUGAAAUGCGUAGAUAUCGGAAGGAACAUCAGUGGCGAAGGCGACUUCCUGGACCAAUACUGACGCUCAGGUGCGAAAGCGUGGGGAGCAAACAGG